GAACGCUGGCGGCGUGGAUUAGGCAUGCAAGUCGUGCGCGAAACCGGUAGCAAUACUGGGAGUAGAGCGGCGAACUGGUGAGUACAAGGUGACUAACGUGCCCUCNAGUGGGGGAUAACCUUCCGAAAGGAGGGCUAAUACCGCAUGGUCUUGCCGGGACUUCGGUCCCGACAAGUAAAGCAGCAAUGCGCUCGAGGAUCGGGUCACCUCCCAUUAGCUAGUUGGUAGGGUAACGGCCUACCAAGGCUACGAUGGGUAGCUGGUCUGAGAGGAUGGUCAGCCACACUGGGACUGAGAUACGGCCCAGACUCCUACGGGGGGCAGCAGUCUAGAGGCUUCGGCAAUGCCCGAAAGGGUGACCGAGCGACGCCGCGUGCGGGAUGAAGGCCUUCGGGUUGUAAACCGCUUUUGUCUGGGAAGAAAGCCAUGGUCGUGCACUGUGGUCUGACGGUACCGGACGAAUAAGCCCCGGCUAACUCCGUGCCAGCAGCCGCGGUAAGACGGAGGGGGCGAGCGUUGUUCGGAAUUAUUGGGCGUAAAGGGCGCGUAGGCGGAUCGGCGGGUCCGGCGUGAAAUCUCCACCACUCAACGGGGAGGCGCCGCUGGAAACUACCGAUCUGGAGUUCGGUAGAGGAGCAUGGAAUUCCGGGUGUAGCGGU
Molecule: ribosomal RNA, 659 nt
Filed under: uncultured bacterium
Lineage: Bacteria
Description: bacterial SSU rRNA
Rfam family: Bacterial small subunit ribosomal RNA
Source: RNAcentral